CCUCCUUUUCUUGGCAGGGACUGGGCUUGUGGUUCCACUCCCUGUAAUGUACAGAGGAAGAGGGAAAGGGUUCUGCCCUCCUCGGCAUCCUGUCUUCGGUGCCAGUAGUUUCCCAUCCUCUGGUUCUAUCCUCAAGCAACAAGACACAG
Molecule: small nucleolar RNA, 149 nt
Organism: Cebus imitator (Panamanian white-faced capuchin)
Lineage: Eukaryota; Metazoa; Chordata; Mammalia; Primates; Cebidae
Source: Ensembl